Ribosomal RNA from Clostridium disporicum, 70 nucleotides. It matches the Rfam family "Bacterial small subunit ribosomal RNA", at positions 1 to 70 of the family's 1533-position model. The record is from Rfam. NCBI's taxonomy places the organism in Bacteria, Bacillati, Bacillota, Clostridia, Eubacteriales, Clostridiaceae.
UUUAUUGAGAGUUUGAUCCUGGCUCAGGACGAACGCUGGCGGCAUGCCUAACACAUGCAAGUCGAGCGAG